This 212-nucleotide unclassified non-coding RNA is filed under the name Flammula abieticola. RNAcentral's name for it is "Pholiota abieticola partial internal transcribed spacer 2". Lineage: Eukaryota; Fungi; Basidiomycota; Agaricomycetes; Agaricales; Strophariaceae. The record is from RNAcentral.
AAUUCUCAACCUUACCAGCUUUUGCGAGUUCGGUAAUGGCUUGGAUGUGGGGGUUUUGUGCCGGCUUCCUAGUGAAGUCAGCUCCCCUUAAAUGUAUUAGCCGGUGCCCUUUGUGGACUGUCUAUUGGUGUGAUAAUUAUCUACGCCGUGGACUUCUGCUUUGAAUAGGUGCACUGCUUCUAACCGUCUGUUCAUUCGGACAAUACUUGACA